Molecule: long non-coding RNA, 674 nt
Organism: Oncorhynchus tshawytscha (Chinook salmon)
Lineage: Eukaryota; Metazoa; Chordata; Actinopteri; Salmoniformes; Salmonidae
Source: Ensembl
CUGAGUCAGUGUGGAGGUUAUAUACAGGGGGUACCGGUACUGAGUCAGUGUGGAGGUUAUAUACAGGGGGUACCAGUACUGAGUCAGUGUGGAGGUUAUAUACAGGGGGUACCAGUACUGAGUCAGUGUGGAGGUUAUAUACAGGGGGUACCGGUACUGAGUCAGUGUGGAGGUUAUAUACAGGGGGUACCAGUACUGAGUCAAUGUGGAGGCUAUAUACAGGGGGUACCAGUACUGAGUCAAUGUGGAGGUUAUAUACAGGGGGUACCGGUACUGAGUCAGUGUGGAGGCUAUAUACAGGGGGUACCGGUACAGAGUCAGUGUGGAGGUUAUAUACAGGGGUACCGGUACUGAGUCAGUGUGGAGGCUAUAUACAGGGGGCACCGGUACUGAGUCAGUGUGGAGGCUAUAUACAGGGGGUACCGGUACAGAGUCAGUGUGGAGGUUAUAUACAGGGGGUACCAGUACUGAGUCAGUGUGGAGGUUAUAUACAGGGGGUACCGGUACUGAGUCAAUGUGGAGGUUAUAUACAGGGGGUACCGGUACUGAGUCAGUGUGGAGGUUAUAUACAGGGGGUACCAGUACUGAGUCAGUGUGGAGGCUAUAUACAGGGGGUACCGGUACUGAGUCAAUGUGGAGGUUAUAUACAGGGGGUACCGGUACUGAGUCAAUGU